UUAGAUACGAAUUAAAUGAUUUUUCAUUCUCGUCAUAUUUUCAUUAUGUUUUAAUGAUUAUAGAAGAUUUUCAUUGCGUCAUUUAUUUUAUAAUUCAUUAAAUUUCACAUUUUUGUGAUAAUUGAGAGAACCAUAUCCUUAUCCUACCCACAUAUUCUAUUCUAACUCGUUUUAUCCCAUGCACCCUUCCUUAUGACUUUCUUUUCUGUCAAUUUCUUUCAUUUUUUUUAACAAACAAUAUUAUCUACACUAACGGAGAGAGCGGUG
This 267-nucleotide long non-coding RNA is filed under the name Malus domestica (apple). Its description in RNAcentral is "long non-coding RNA (MDOM_LNC004753)". Lineage: Eukaryota; Viridiplantae; Streptophyta; Magnoliopsida; Rosales; Rosaceae. The record is from RNAcentral.